GGCUAAGACCAUACCACCCAGAAUGUGCCCCAUUUCUGAUCUCAGAAGCUAAGCAGGAUUGGGCCUGGUUAGCACUUGGAUGGGAAAGGAGACGUUGUGCCUGGCAA
This 107-nucleotide ribosomal RNA is filed under the name Jaculus jaculus (lesser Egyptian jerboa). Lineage: Eukaryota; Metazoa; Chordata; Mammalia; Rodentia; Dipodidae. The record is from RNAcentral.